This 73-nucleotide transfer RNA is filed under the name Cavia porcellus (domestic guinea pig). It matches the Rfam family "tRNA". From Rfam's summary of the family: Transfer RNA (tRNA) molecules are approximately 80 nucleotides in length. Their secondary structure includes four short double-helical elements and three loops (D, anti-codon, and T loops). Further hydrogen bonds mediate the characteristic L-shaped molecular structure. tRNAs have two regions of fundamental functional importance: the anti-codon, which is responsible for specific mRNA codon recognition, and the 3' end, to which the tRNAs corresponding amino acid is attached (by aminoacyl-tRNA synthetases). tRNAs cope with the degeneracy of the genetic code in two manners: having more than one tRNA (with a specific anti-codon) for a particular amino acid; and 'wobble' base-pairing, i.e. permitting non-standard base-pairing at the 3rd anti-codon position. Lineage: Eukaryota; Metazoa; Chordata; Mammalia; Rodentia; Caviidae. The record is from Rfam by way of RNAcentral.
UGGGAUUUAGCUCAGCGGCAUAAGCACCUGCCUGGCAAGCAUGAGGUUGUGAGUUCGAUUCCCGGUAUCACAA